RNAcentral lists this long non-coding RNA (1018 nucleotides) under Pan troglodytes (chimpanzee). RNAcentral describes it as "lincRNA". The record is from RNAcentral. Lineage: Eukaryota; Metazoa; Chordata; Mammalia; Primates; Hominidae.
GCGGAGCUCCCAUUUAGGGGUCACAGGAUCAAGAGAAACGUGCCACAAGCUGGAGGCUGUGCAAAACUGGCAGCAAACAUCUCUGGGGAGAGCCCUGCACACAGCCACCCCAACCUCUGGCACCACCACUCUGAUCAGUCAGCAGCCAUCAACAUCUAGUUGAGACCCUCCACUAGCAAAGAGAUUAUGACUCACUGAAGGCUCAGAUGAUCAUGAAUAGUUUUCAGAAAUAAAGUACUUUUAAAUUCAGAUGGAGUCUUGCUCUGUUGCCCAGGCUGGAGUGCAAUCUCAGUUCACUGCAACCUCUGCCUCCUGGGUUCAAGCGAUUCUCCUGCCUCAGCCUCCUGAGUAGCUGGGAUUGCAGCUAAAAUGCCACCAGGUGAUCGGAAUUUUUCAGCUCCAUUAAAAUCUUAUGAGACCAUCAUUGAAUAUGUGGUCCGUCAUUGACCAAAACAUCAUGAUGCAGCUCAUGACUAUAGUUCUAACUGUCUCAGAAGAUCCAGGAAAAAGCAGGUUCCUCCGAGGCCGGAAGCCCAUUCAGUAUCUUAGCCAAUGGCAUGUCUUAUAGAUAGAUACAAAUAGCGCAGCCUUUUGCGGAAGAAAUGAUAUCUUGUUUCCUUUGCCAGGAACUGUGUUCUUGCAACAGUAAUAUAAAUGUGUAGCCCACAUUAGGUACUCAAACAACUUGUCAUUUGUUUGAAAAGGAGCCCUCUAUUUGACUAGAGGAAACAGGAGCCAAAUGAGCUUGAUUCCUUCUUAUGCCAGCCAGCAAUGCAAUUACAAGAAUGGGGACUGGGGAAGGACAAAUUGAUCAGUCACCCAUGCACAUAGGUGCAGGGGCUAUGUACUUGAAGUGGUUGGUUGUGGUUGGGACCCUGCCUUGAUCUGUUAAUUACAUAUUGCAAAAUGGGAUCUCAUAAGUGACUGUAAUUCAUUGGUAAUUUCUUGAGAAAUUACAAUUUUUGACAGGAAAGUUUUUUUUCUUUGUGUCCCCUGAUAAAUUCUCCUGGUUUGUAAA